CCUACGGGUGGCUGCAGUCGAGAAUCAUUCACAAUGGGGGAAACCCUGAUGGUGCGACGCCGCGUGGGGGAAUGAAGGUCUUCGGAUUGUAAACCCCUGUCAUGUGGGAGCACAUUAGAAAGAUAGUACCACAAGAGGAAGAGGCGGCUAACUCUGUGCCAGGAGCCGCGGUAAUACCGAGGUCUCAAGCGUUGUUCGGAAUCACUGGGCGUAAAGCGUGCGUAGGCUGUUUCGUAAGUCGUGGAUGAAAGGCCAGGGCUCAACCCGCGGACGGCAUAUGAUACUGCGAGACUAGAGUAAUGGAGGGGGAACCGGAAUUCUCGGUGUAGCAGUGAAAUGCGUAGAUAUCGGGAGGAACACUCGUGGCGAAGGCGGGUUCCUGGACAUUAACUGACGCUGAGGGACGAAGGCCAGGGGAGCGAAAGGGAUUAGAUACCCUAGUAGUC
This 446-nucleotide ribosomal RNA is filed under the name uncultured bacterium. Its description in RNAcentral is "partial 16S ribosomal RNA". It matches the Rfam family "Bacterial small subunit ribosomal RNA", at positions 338 to 795 of the family's 1533-position model. The record is from RNAcentral.